UACGUAGGGAGCGAGCGUUGUCCGGAUUCAUUGGGCGUAAAGAGCGCGCAGGCGGUUUGGUAAGUCGGGUUUGAAAUCCCGGGGCUCAACCCCGGACCUGCAUCCGAUACUGCCCGACUAGAGGUAGGUAGGGGAGAUCGGAAUUCCUGGUGUAGCGGUGAAAUGCGCAGAUAUCAGGAGGAACACCGGUGGCGAAGGCGGAUCUCUGGGCCUUACCUGACGCUCAGGCGCGAAAGCUAGGGGAGCGAACAGG
RNAcentral lists this ribosomal RNA (253 nucleotides) under uncultured bacterium. RNAcentral's name for it is "partial 16S ribosomal RNA". It matches the Rfam family "Bacterial small subunit ribosomal RNA", at positions 524 to 776 of the family's 1533-position model. The record is from RNAcentral.